GGUAGGGUGGCCAAGGCGCUGGAUUUAGGCUCCAGUCUCUUCGGGGGCGUGGGUUCGAAUCCCACCGCUGCCA
Molecule: transfer RNA, 73 nt
Filed under: Danio rerio (zebrafish)
Lineage: Eukaryota; Metazoa; Chordata; Actinopteri; Cypriniformes; Danionidae
Rfam family: tRNA
About the family: Transfer RNA (tRNA) molecules are approximately 80 nucleotides in length. Their secondary structure includes four short double-helical elements and three loops (D, anti-codon, and T loops). Further hydrogen bonds mediate the characteristic L-shaped molecular structure. tRNAs have two regions of fundamental functional importance: the anti-codon, which is responsible for specific mRNA codon recognition, and the 3' end, to which the tRNAs corresponding amino acid is attached (by aminoacyl-tRNA synthetases). tRNAs cope with the degeneracy of the genetic code in two manners: having more than one tRNA (with a specific anti-codon) for a particular amino acid; and 'wobble' base-pairing, i.e. permitting non-standard base-pairing at the 3rd anti-codon position.
Source: Rfam by way of RNAcentral